UCGAGCGGACAGAUGGGAGCUUGCUCCCUGAUGUUAGCGGCGGACGGGUGAGUAACACGUGGGUAACCUGCCUGUAAGACUGGGAUAACUCCGGGAAACCGGGGCUAAUACCGGAUGCUUGUUUGAACCGCAUGGUUCAAACAUAAAAGGUGGCUUCGGCUACCACUUACAGAUGGACCCGCGGCGCAUUAGCUAGUUGGUGAGGUAACGGCUCACCAAGGCGACGAUGCGUAGCCGACCUGAGAGGGUGAUCGGCCACACUGGGACUGAGACACGGCCCAGACUCCUACGGGAGGCAGCAGUAGGGAAUCUUCCGCAAUGGACGAAAGUCUGACGGAGCAACGCCGCGUGAGUGAUGAAGGUUUUCGGAUCGUAAAGCUCUGUUGUUAGGGAAGAACAAGUGCCGUUCAAAUAGGGCGGCACCUUGACGGUACCUAACCAGAAAGCCACGGCUAACUACGUGCCAGCAGCCGCGGUAAUACGUAGGUGGCAAGCGUUGUCCGGAAUUAUUGGGCGUAAAGGGCUCGCAGGCGGUUUCUUAAGUCUGAUGUGAAAGCCCCCGGCUCAACCGGGGAGGGUCAUUGGAAACUGGGGAACUUGAGUGCAGAAGAGGAGAGUGGAAUUCCACGUGUAGCGGUGAAAUGCGUAUAGAUGUGGAGGAACACCAGUGGCGAAGGCGACUCUCUGGUCUGUAACUGACGCUGAGGAGCGAAAGCGUGGGGAGCGAACAGGAUUAGAUACCC
This 743-nucleotide ribosomal RNA is filed under the name Bacillus amyloliquefaciens. Its description in RNAcentral is "bacterial SSU rRNA". It matches the Rfam family "Bacterial small subunit ribosomal RNA", at positions 62 to 787 of the family's 1533-position model. Lineage: Bacteria; Bacillati; Bacillota; Bacilli; Caryophanales; Bacillaceae. The record is from RNAcentral.